CGGGGAGUAGCGCAGCUUGGUUAGCGCACCUGCUUUGGGAGCAGGAGGCCGCGGGUUCGAAUCCCGCCUCCCCGACCA
RNAcentral lists this transfer RNA (78 nucleotides) under Actinomycetota bacterium. Its description in RNAcentral is "tRNA-Pro". It matches the Rfam family "tRNA". From Rfam's summary of the family: Transfer RNA (tRNA) molecules are approximately 80 nucleotides in length. Their secondary structure includes four short double-helical elements and three loops (D, anti-codon, and T loops). Further hydrogen bonds mediate the characteristic L-shaped molecular structure. tRNAs have two regions of fundamental functional importance: the anti-codon, which is responsible for specific mRNA codon recognition, and the 3' end, to which the tRNAs corresponding amino acid is attached (by aminoacyl-tRNA synthetases). tRNAs cope with the degeneracy of the genetic code in two manners: having more than one tRNA (with a specific anti-codon) for a particular amino acid; and 'wobble' base-pairing, i.e. permitting non-standard base-pairing at the 3rd anti-codon position. Lineage: Bacteria; Bacillati; Actinomycetota. The record is from RNAcentral.